GACGAACGCUGGCGGCGUGCUUAACACAUGCAAGUCGAACGGAAAGGCCCUGCUUGCAGGGUGCUCGAGUGGCGAACGGGUGAGUAACACGUGGGUGAUCUGCCCCUUACUUUGGGAUAAGCCUGGGAAACUGGGUCUAAUACUGGAUAGGACCAUGCUGUAGGUGGUGUGGUGGAAAGAUUGGUUUCGGUAAGGGAUGAGCUCGCGGCCUAUCAGCUUGUUGGUGGGGUAAUGGCCUACCAAGGCGUCGACGGGUAGCCGGCCUGAGAGGGUGGACGGCCACAUUGGGACUGAGAGACGGCCCAGACUCCUACGGGAGGCAGCAGUGGGGAAUAUUGCACAAUGGGCGCAAGCCUGAUGCAGCGACGCCGCGUGGGGGAUGACGGCCUUCGGGUUGUAAACUCCUUUCAGCCAUGACGAAGCCCUUGUGGUGACGGUAGUGGUAGAAGAAGCACCGGCUAACUACGUG
Molecule: ribosomal RNA, 469 nt
Filed under: uncultured bacterium
Lineage: Bacteria
Description: partial 16S ribosomal RNA
Rfam family: Bacterial small subunit ribosomal RNA
Source: RNAcentral